UUUCAUUUUCCCUUAGAUUCCUUUGAAGAAUACAAAUGUAAAGGCGACAUACGGAUUGAUGAGCAUACAGAGUUCUUUAUAUCGUAUAACGGAGGCGUUAUAGAUUCUUUAUGUUACUUCAUGAAUUUUCUGGGACGAGAUUCGAAAAAUCUCAAAGCUUACCAGAUUUGUAUGGAGACCAUCAGGUAUCAUGACCCUGACUGCGCCAUUCUAGUAGGAUUGACUAGUUCCUCAAAGUUUGCUAGGGAUUUCAAUUGUACGCACAACCCACCCACACCUAUCUGUUACGACAACUCUUUGAAAAUCCACAUCGAACCUAUAUCGGUGGAAAAGUCUUCAAGGAAUUCGUCUUUUCUUUUCAAGGUUAUGGCACAUUUGACUGCAGAUAAAAUGGAAUUAAUCUGGACAAUUUUAGCAGCAAGUGGGUCAGGUUUGGUGCUUAUAAUAAUACUUAUUGUAAGUGUUAGACAGAUAAAAAGCAGAUAUCAAAAUACCAAGA
This is a long non-coding RNA of Saccostrea cuccullata (small rock oyster), 499 nucleotides long. RefSeq lists it as uncharacterized. The record is from RefSeq and is a predicted model, not a curated record. The transcript is spliced from 3 exons. Lineage: Eukaryota; Metazoa; Mollusca; Bivalvia; Ostreida; Ostreidae.